UCUUUCUGCCCGUUGGAGCCUUCAUUGUUCAGGUAUUCCUUCACUUUCAGCUUCCUUUCCAAUUCUUUUAGAGGCUUUGAGGAUGGAACCUUUCCCAAAGGGCAUGCUAGGCCCACCUUCUAGCUCCUCGGCAAGCGAUUUCAACUAUCUAGCACUCUGCUCCCUAUUCACCAUUCUGAAGCCGAGGAGUCUAUAGAUUCGUUUGCCUCUCUUGUUUCACCAAUUGCCAGCAUCUUUCAGGUGCAGCGUUUUGAGUCAUCCUUCUCCUGAAUUCUCUUAAAACAUGCCGUUUCUUUUUACCUUAAAGCCAUGUCUUCUUUUUUCCUCUGUUUCGCUUCUUCUCUGCACAUCUACAUAGAAAAAAACCAGACAAAACCUUAGAGCCCCUUCUCUCUCCCUCAUUAUCCAAAGAACAAACCCUAUCCUCUAUUGCCAUCCUUCUCCUUUACUUCAAGGAAGAUGAAGUCUACAAGCCGAAGUUGUUUGAGUUCAAGUUUCUGCGUUGCCACUUCAAUUCAAGCCAUCAUCAGCUGGCCUUUGGUUAGCUGGGGUGGAAUUUACUAAUUCUCAACUGAUCAUAAACCUAUAAGUUGUUUUUCAAUUUGAUCCCUUGAUGUUUCCUACAUUAAUUUCCUAAAGGAUCUUUUUUUCAAUUAUGGUUGACAUUUACCGAAUAAUGUUCAUAAUUUAUGGAAAUGUUUUUAACACAACACUGAAAAGAAUGAGUAUACAUUUGUUAGGGACUAAAUUGAGGUUUCCCAAACAAAAAGGUCACAGGAGCAGGAACUCUGAUAAACUGACAAGAUGGUGACACUCAACCUGGGACACCCAGUGAUCUCUCCCUCCUUAAAAUGACAAAGCCUGUCGCUGCCAGAACCAAACUCAUCGUCGUUUAUGACCUCGGCCAUGGCCAUAGCGACUGCAGCCUCCUCUCUUCUCCACUCAAAACCACCACCACCACCACCAACUCUCCUUUCUCAUUCCCCACAAUCAGCACAACAACUUCACCUUCCCAAAACAACAUCCUCCAAAUGGACCCCAUUAGUACUCACCACGAGUCAUUCAACCUUGGAAAAGACCAUGCCCACGACAAGUCGUUCCACUAAUUUCCCAGACCUCUCUUUCCUUUCUUCUUUGACAACAUCUGCUAUUGAUAAUCUAGCCAUGGUGAGUCCUUCACUUGCAUAUGCGAACACCCUUUACUUCAAAUUUGGAUUUAACGUGCAAAUCAACGUGAAAGAGAACGAGCCUGAGGAGAGUAUACUGUUUCGGUUCAAGAAAGCUGUUAUAAGGGCACGUGUUUUGCAGGAGUGUAGGAGGAGGAGGUUCUUUGAGAGCACACAAGAUAAGAAGAAGAGAAAAACUAGAGAUGCUGCUAGAAGAAACAGUCAGAGACGCCCACAGCCAAGAACACCAGUUAAACAGGAAGCACCCAAGAAGAAAAAGGAUGACGAUGACGAUGACAACUGGGAACUCCCAUAAGGAGAGAUUCCCUAUCGCUUACUGAGGCAACGAGGUCCAUAAGAGGAAGCCAGAUAGCAGCUGAAACGAGAAGGAAAGAACAAAGAUGAAUGCUGUUUUCAAGAAUCUCCCAACCGAUGAAUCCAUAGCUCAAGUGACUGACAGCCUCCCUCUUGCCUAAAUGAAAUGGAAUGAAUCAAAUCAGUAAGCUUUUUAAUUGAUUCAGGGUGAAGCGAAGCCAAAUUCAACCAGGCAAGGUCGGCCUUUGCCCAAGUUUGGUGAGUGGGAUGUGAACAACCCUGCCUCUGCUGAAGGAUUCACAGUCAUAUUCAACAAGGCUAGAGACGAGAAGAAGACCAAAAAUAGUCCUGCAAAAGUUGUUUCGCCACGGAGAACUGAACCUGUGUUCAACAAAAAUGCCAAAAAUGAGAACUAUGAGCAUCCUCCGAAGAGGAGGUGGCUUUGCUAUGUUGAACUCAUAAUGCACUAAGAGCCUCGAUGAAUGACUGGUGAAACUAACAAUGUCCGGGGUGGGGAUUCUCUUACUAGUUAAUGCCUAAGCCUUCUGAUGGAGGACUGAAUGGUUUAUGACCAUACUUAUCUUU
RNA transcript from Populus trichocarpa (black cottonwood), 2066 nucleotides. It is a transcript of the gene named protein NOI4, with no coding region annotated. The transcript is spliced from 4 exons. NCBI's taxonomy places the organism in Eukaryota, Viridiplantae, Streptophyta, Magnoliopsida, Malpighiales, Salicaceae. The record is from RefSeq and is a predicted model, not a curated record.